Molecule: ribosomal RNA, 550 nt
Filed under: Wickerhamomyces sp.
Lineage: Eukaryota; Fungi; Ascomycota; Saccharomycetes; Phaffomycetales; Wickerhamomycetaceae
Description: eukaryotic LSU rRNA
Rfam family: Eukaryotic large subunit ribosomal RNA
Source: RNAcentral
CGAGUGAGCGGCAAAAGCUCAAAUUUGAAAUCUAGCACCUUCGGUGUUCGAGUUGUAAUUUGAAGAUGGUAACCUUGGGUUUGGCUCUUGUCUAUGUUCCUUGGAACAGGACGUCAUAGAGGGUGAGAAUCCCGUCUGAUGAGAUGCCCAUUCCUAUGUAAGGUGCUAUCGAAGAGUCGAGUUGUUUGGGAAUGCAGCUCUAAGUGGGUGGUAAAUUCCAUCUAAAGCUAAAUAUUGGCGAGAGACCGAUAGCGAACAAGUACAGUGAUGGAAAGAUGAAAAGAACUUUGAAAAGAGAGUGAAAAAGUACGUGAAAUUGUUGAAAGGGAAGGGCAUUAGAUCAGACUUGGUGUUUUACGAUUAUCUUCUCUUCUUGAGCUGUGCACUCGUAUUUCACUGGGCCAGCAUCGAUUCGGAUGGCAAGAUAAUGGCAGUUGAAUGUGGCUUCACUUCGGUGGAGUGUUAUAGCUUCUGCUGAUAUUGCCUGUCUGGAUCGAGGGCUGCGUCUUUUGACUAGGAUGCUGGCGUAAUGAUCUAAUGCCGCCCGUCU